GACGAACGCUGGCGGCGUGCUUAACACAUGCAAGUCGAACGGAAAGGCCUGCUUUCCCUUGUGGAUUGCGGGUACUCGAGUGGCGAACGGGUGAGUAACACGUGAGUGAUCUGCCCCCAACUUGGGUAUAAGCCUGGGAAACUGGGUCUAAUUCCCGAUAGGACUGCAGGGUGGUGCCUGUGGUGGAAAACGAUUUUCUAGUGGUUGGGGAUGAGCUCGCGGCCUAUCAGCUUGUUGGUGGGGUAAUGGCCUACCAAGGCGGCGACGGGUAGCCGGCCUGGGAGGGUGGACGGCCACAGUGGGACUGAGAUACGGCCCAGACUCCUACGGGAGGCAGCAGUGGGGAAGAGUGCACAAUGGGCGGAAGCCUGAUGCAGCGACGCCGCGUGGGGGAUGACGGCCUUCGGGUGGUAAACUCCUUUCGACCGCGAGGAAGCCACCUGGUUGGAAGGGUGGUGACGGUAGUGGUAGAAGAAGCACCGGCUAACUACGUG
This 494-nucleotide ribosomal RNA is filed under the name uncultured bacterium. RNAcentral's name for it is "partial 16S ribosomal RNA". It matches the Rfam family "Bacterial small subunit ribosomal RNA", at positions 28 to 507 of the family's 1533-position model. The record is from RNAcentral.